AACGAACGCUGGCGGCAUGCCUAACACAUGCAAGUCGAACGAGACCUUCGGGUCCAGUGGCGCACGGGUGCGUAACGCGUGGGAACCUGCCCUCAGGUUUGGAAUAACUCCCCGAAAGGGGUGCUAAUACCGGAUAAUGUCUUCGGACCAAAGAUUUAUCGCCUUUGGAUGGGCCCGCGUUGGAUUAGCUAGUUUGUAGGGUAAAAGCCUACCAAGGUGACGAUCCAUAGCUGGUCUGAGAGGAUGAGCAGCCACACUGGGACUGAGACACGGCCCAGAUUCCGACGAGAGGAAGCAGUGGGGAAUAUUGGACAAUGGGCGAAGGCCUGAUCCAGCAAUGCCGCGUGAGUGAUGAAGGCCUUAGGGUUGUAAAGCUCUUUUACCCGGGAUGAUAAUGACGGUACCGGGAGAAUAAGCUCCGGCUAACUCCGUG
RNAcentral lists this ribosomal RNA (433 nucleotides) under uncultured bacterium. RNAcentral's name for it is "partial 16S ribosomal RNA". It matches the Rfam family "Bacterial small subunit ribosomal RNA", at positions 29 to 507 of the family's 1533-position model. The record is from RNAcentral.